This 505-nucleotide ribosomal RNA is filed under the name uncultured bacterium. Its description in RNAcentral is "bacterial SSU rRNA". It matches the Rfam family "Bacterial small subunit ribosomal RNA", at positions 15 to 507 of the family's 1533-position model. The record is from RNAcentral.
GAUCAUGGCUCAGGAUGAACGCUAGCGACAGGCCUAACACAUGCAAGUCGAGGGGCAGCGGGGAGGUAGCAAUACCUUUGCCGGCGACCGGCGCACGGGUGAGUAACACGUAUGCAAUCCACCUGUAACAGGGGGAUAACCCGGAGAAAUCCGGACUAAUACCCCAUAAUAUGGGCUCUCCGCAUGGAGGGUCCAUUAAAGAGAGCAAUCUUGGUUACAGACGAGCAUGCGCUCCAUUAGCCAGUUGGCGGGGUGACGGCCCACCAAGGCGACGAUGGAUAGGGGUUCUGAGAGGAAGGUCCCCCACAUUGGAACUGAGACACGGUCCAAACUCCUACGGGAGGCAGCAGUGAGGAAUAUUGGUCAAUGGUCGGCAGACUGAACCAGCCAAGUCGCGUGAGGGAAGACGGCCCUACGGGUUGUAAACCUCUUUUGUCGGAGAGUAAAGUACGCUACGUGUAGUGUAUUGCAAGUAUCCGAAGAAAAAGCAUCGGCUAACUCCGUG